UUUAUUUUUUCCAAAAAUCAUUUCUAGGUACAUAAAUAUCUAUUUAAUCAGAGAAACACAAAAGGUUUUCCAAGAUUCAACCACUGGCAAGGAACCGUCAUGCCCGCUGGUUUGACCGCAUUUUGAAACGGGCAUAAACAAUUCAAAAAAAUCAAAAAAUUGGAAAACCUUCGCAUUGUGUCCUUAUAUGUGACCAAGUUUCCUGGAAAAAUAAUAAACUUGUAAUACGACAAUUCUUUUAAAAAGUGUUCUCAGAAAUGAGCUAUCAUGCGUGAAGAUUCAUGGCUUUCAAGCCAAAUGAUCAAUCUUAUGGCCAUAUUCAUGGCAUACUCUGUUCAAAUGAUCUCAUAUUGUGCACAAGGGUGCAUCUUGGAAUUCCAAACAAUGUUGCCUAAGGGAGUUUUCAUUUUCUUUGCACGGAAAAUUCAUUUUCCAUUUUUCGAGUGCCUGAAAUGAGUUUUUUUUGUGAAGGACCUACCAUAUAUUUGUUGCAAAAUUGGACCAAAUCAAUUUUAUAAAAUACUAGGCCAUAUUUCAUGCACAAUUGACAAAAUGGUUGGGUGUCAAAAGCUUUGAUCCAUCUCUGGUGAAGAAGACAAAUUUCCGCCGAUUCAGCAGGAAGCGAGUCAAAUUUGAACUAUAGUUACCUCAUAGUUUGCAAUUUAUUUUUUCCAAAAAUCAUUUCUAGGUACAUAAGUAUCUAUUUAAUCAGAGAAAUAUCAAAAAAAAUUCCAAGAUUAAACCACUAGCAAGGAACGGUCAUUCCCGCCGUUUUGACCGCAUUUUGAAACGGGCAUAAAAAAUUCAAAAAAAAAUCAAAUAAUUGGGAAACCUUCGCAUUGUGUCAUUAUAUGUGGCCAAGUUCCCAGGAAAAAUAACAAACUUGUAAUACGGCAAUUAUUUAAAAAAAAUGUUCUCAGAAACGAGCUAUCACGUGUGUAGAUCAAUGGCUUUCAAGCCAAAUGAUCAAUCUUAUGGCCACAUUCAUGGCAUAGUUUGUUCAAAUGAUCUCAUAUUGUGCACAAGGGUGCAUAUUGGAAUGGCAAACAAUGUUGCCUAAGGAAGUUUUCAUUUUCUUUGGACGAAAAAACCAUCUUCCAUUUUUCGAGUGCCCAAAAGGAGGGUUUUUUGUGAGGGACCUCCCAAAUAAUUGUUGCAAAAUUGGACCAAAUCAUUUUUCAAAAAUACUAGGCCAUAUUUAAUGCACAAUUGACCAAAUGGUUGGGUGUAAAAAGUUUUGAUCCACCUCUCGUGAAAAAGACAAAUUUCCACCGAUUCAGCUGGAAGCGGGUCAAAUUUGAACUGUAGCUUCCUUGUAGUUUGCUCUUUAUUUUUUUCAAAAAUCAUUUCUAGGUACAUAAGUAUCUAUUUAAUCAGAGAAACACCAAAAAAAUCCAAGAUUCAACCACUAGCUAGGCACGGUCAUUCCCGCCGUUUUGACCGCAUUUUGAAACGGGCAUAAAAAAUUCAAAAAAACAAAAAAAUUGGGAAACCUUCGCAUUGUGCCAUUAUAUGUGGCCAAGUUCC
RNAcentral lists this long non-coding RNA (1527 nucleotides) under Triticum aestivum (bread wheat). RNAcentral's name for it is "long non-coding RNA (TAES_LNC018219)". Lineage: Eukaryota; Viridiplantae; Streptophyta; Magnoliopsida; Poales; Poaceae. The record is from RNAcentral.